GGUUAAGCGACUAAGCGUACACGGUGGAUGCCCUGGCAGUCAGAGGCGAUGAAGGGCGUGCUAAUCUGCGAUAAGCGCCGGUAAGGUGAUAUGAACCGUUAUAACCGGCGAUACCCGAAUGGGGAAACCCAGUGUGACUCGUCACACUAUCAUUAACUGAAUCCAUAGGUUAAUGAGGCGAACCGGGGGAACUGAAACAUCUAAGUACCCCGAGGAAAAGAAAUCAACCGAGAUUCCCCCAGUAGCGGCGAGCGAACGGGGAGGAGCCCAGAGCCUGAAUCAGCAUGUGUGUUAGUGGAAGCGUCUGGAAAGGCGCGCGAUACAGGGUGACAGCCCCGUACACAAAAGCGCAUGUGCUGUGAGCUCGAUGAGUAGGGCGGGACACGUGGUAUCCUGUCUGAAUAUGGGGGGACCAUCCUCCAAGGCUAAAUACUCCUGACUGACCGAUAGUGAACCAGUACCGUGAGGGAAAGGCGAAAAGAACCCCGGCGAGGGGAGUGAAAAAGAACCUGAAACCGUGUACGUACAAGCAGUGGGAGCACAGGUUUACCUGUGUGACUGCGUACCUUUUGUAUAA
This 577-nucleotide ribosomal RNA is filed under the name Salmonella enterica. RNAcentral's name for it is "partial 23S ribosomal RNA". It matches the Rfam family "Bacterial large subunit ribosomal RNA", at positions 1 to 615 of the family's 2925-position model. Lineage: Bacteria; Pseudomonadati; Pseudomonadota; Gammaproteobacteria; Enterobacterales; Enterobacteriaceae. The record is from RNAcentral. RNAcentral also lists the same sequence under 1 other name.